GGCGUGCUUAACACAUGCAAAUCGAACGAGAAUCUGUGGAAAGAGGAUUCGUCCAAUUGAAGCAGAGGACAGUGGCGGACGGGUGAGUAACGCGUGAGGAACCUGCCUUUCAGAGGGGGACAACAGUUGGAAACGACUGCUAUACCGCAUGACACAUAGGUGUCGCAUGGCACUUAUGUCAAAGAUUUAUCGCUGAAAGAUGGCCUCGCGUCUGAUUAGCUAGUUGGUGAGGUAACGGCCCACCAAGGCGACGAUCAGUAGCCGGACUGAGAGGUUGAACGGCCACAUUGGGACUGAGAUACGGCCCAGACUCCUACGGGAGGCAGCAGUGGGGAAUAUUGCACAAUGGGCGAAAGCCUGAUGCAGCAACGCCGCGUGAGCGAUGAAGGCCUUCGGGUCGUAAAGCUCUGUCCUCAAGGAAGAUAAUGACGGUACUUGAGGAGGAAGCCCCGGCUAACUACGUGCCAGCAGCCGCGGUAAUACGUAGGGGGCUAGCGUUAUCCGGAAUUACUGGGCGUAAAGGGUGCGUAGGUGGUUUCUUAAGUCAGAGGUGAAAGGCUACGGCUCAACCGUAGUAAGCCUUUGAAACUGGGAAACUUGAGUGCAGGAGAGGAGAGUGGAAUUCCUAGUGUAGCGGUGAAAUGCGUAGAUAUUAGGAGGAACACCAGUUGCGAAGGCGGCUCUCUGGACUGUAACUGACACUGAGGCACGAAAGCGUGGGGAGCAAACAGGAUUAGAUACCCUGGUAGUCCACGCCGUAAACGAUGAGUACUAGCUGUCGGAGGUUACCCCCUUCGGUGGCGCAGCUAACGCAUUAAG
This 819-nucleotide ribosomal RNA is filed under the name uncultured bacterium. RNAcentral describes it as "bacterial SSU rRNA". It matches the Rfam family "Bacterial small subunit ribosomal RNA", at positions 41 to 864 of the family's 1533-position model. The record is from RNAcentral.